GCCUUUGUAGUGCAAUCACUAGCACGUGCGGCUGUCAAUCAGAUGAUCUGGGAUUCGAAUCCCGGCAAAGGCA
This 73-nucleotide transfer RNA is filed under the name Stegodyphus mimosarum. It matches the Rfam family "tRNA". Rfam says of the family: Transfer RNA (tRNA) molecules are approximately 80 nucleotides in length. Their secondary structure includes four short double-helical elements and three loops (D, anti-codon, and T loops). Lineage: Eukaryota; Metazoa; Arthropoda; Arachnida; Araneae; Eresidae. The record is from Rfam by way of RNAcentral.